Chiroxiphia lanceolata (lance-tailed manakin) is the source of this 1176-nucleotide long non-coding RNA. RefSeq lists it as uncharacterized. The record is from RefSeq and is a predicted model, not a curated record. The transcript is spliced from 9 exons. Lineage: Eukaryota; Metazoa; Chordata; Aves; Passeriformes; Pipridae.
GGGGUGGAAAAUAUCAGACCUACAAAACUACUCAAGACUUGAUCAUCAGUGUGAUUUUUGUCUGUCCUGGUCAUCAGUGUCUCUACACAACAGUCAGCAGGAAAUGGCAAACAACAGAAGUCUGAUAAGUGCUCAGGAAAAAUGCCAUAUGGCAUGUGCAUCAUCACAAAAAACACGAUGAGCUCUAAACUCUGCAAAUGUCUUCGUGCCACAGGGAUGCACAACCUACAUUAGCAAAAAAAAAAGUCUACCAGCUCUUGCUCUUUGGUCAAACAGCAAACCGGAACACCGAGCCGUGGUGUUUGUAAUUGAUUUCGGUCAGGAGAGCUGAAGAUACUUUUGUAGCGGAGGAAGUAUAAGAACGAUUAAAAAUGACAAGACCAUCUGUCAUUAAUGAAGAAAGUAUCUCGGCCUGGUUCUUCCUUGUGGUGGCAAGCAAAAGAAAACCAAACCUGUCAUUGUUAACUGCAUGUAGAAAACUACUGAGAACAGCUCUGGCAGAAUUUUAAUGUCUAAGAACUGCAAAGGACAGGUUAACUAUGAGAUUAUUGCACCACAAAAUCAAAUUGAAAAGCACCCAGUGUAAUUCCAGCAUAGAACACACACUUUCCACUGCCAAGGAGUCUUUUGCUGGAGUCACUGAUUUUUCAGGUGAUUGCACACUGAGGAUAACUUAUUUCUCCAGUGAGAUGCUGAUACAACAUAUAAGGAGAAAAAAUGGGCAAUAAAUGCUCCUCUGCUUGACAGAUGCCUGCAAAAUUUCAUCACACCUUGGACCUCUUUGGGUCUUUAAGAGAGAAGGUUUCAGCCUCCCAGGAGCAAAGAUUUAUAGCCAAGGAGUUCUAUUGGCCCUGCACCAACGAUUAAAGUCUGCAAACUGUUGCAAGCAGCCCUUUCUGUGUAAAACUACACUUCAGAUUAACUUCUAACUCAAGGACAAAUCAAAAACUGAAAAGUGUCAUUAGGAUCCAUCCAUAACAAUCAAAUAUUGUUUUUUACUGACAUCUGACAAUGAUCAAAAAGAAGUAAGAGCAGCUCGUUCCUGAUUUCACGUGAGGAGCAGUGCUGAGCUACUUAUUCUGCCCCCAAACAGAAUUUUGCCAUGAUUCAGUCCUCCCUCCUUGCUGCUGCCAGCCUACUUUCUGCCAAAGUGUUUUGGAACAAAGGAAAAACACC